Molecule: RNA transcript, 4642 nt
Organism: Tripterygium wilfordii
Lineage: Eukaryota; Viridiplantae; Streptophyta; Magnoliopsida; Celastrales; Celastraceae
Gene name: phytochrome B-like
Exons: 5
Source: RefSeq, a predicted model, not a curated record
AAAAUGGAAAAGAGUCGCUGCCCUUUCAGGCUUUUCACUGGAGGGAAAAACAAACAGAAAAUCUGUCAAAUCGAAACCAAAGGCUCUUCCAAUUCCUGAAGGGCUAUCAAGCAAACAUUUCACUGUAAUGGUAUGUAGUAUACACAUAUACCUCUGCAUUUUUGCUAACUGAAAAAGAAAAUGCUUUUGUGAUCAAAGCUGAGUCUGAGAGUUCUUCAGUUCGUCUUCGAAUUCUUCACUCAUUGUUAUUCAAGAGAAGAAUCACCAGAAGAAUUGGACAAAUCCAGUAAAUCAAUGGCUUCAAGUAGCGGAGCAGCACACUCGCCCCACCAUCACAACCAAACGGCGACUACCACGGAAUCAAUCAGCAAGGCUAUUGCUCAGUACACGAUGGAUGCCCGACUCCACGCAGUUUUCGAGCAGUCCGGCGAGUCUGGUAAGUCGUUCGAUUACUCACAAUCGGUUAGAACCACCAACCAGUCCGUGCCCGAGCAGGAUAUCACCGCCUACCUCUCGAAAAUUCAACGUGGCGGCCAUAUCCAACCGUUUGGCUGUAUGAUUGCCGUCGAUGAACCCACUUUCCGAGUCAUCGCCUACAGCGAGAACGCUCGCGAGAUGCUUGCUUUAACUCCCCAGUCAGUUCCCGUGCUUGACAAACCUGGGAUUCUAACAAUUGGCACAGACGUACGCAGCCUCUUCACGCCUUCCAGCGGGAUUCUGCUAGAGAAAGCGUUUGGUGCGCGAGAAAUUACUUUACUGAACCCGAUUUGGAUUCACUCGAAGAAUUCCGGCAAACCCUUUUACGCCAUUCUGCAUAGGAUAGAUGUGGGCAUCGUGAUUGAUGUGGAGCCUGCGAGAACAGAGGACCCUGCUUUGUCAAUUGCAGGGGCUGUGCAGUCACAGAAGCUCGCGGUUCGUGCUAUUUCGCAGUUACAGUCACUUCCAGGAGGGGAUAUUAAGGUUCUUUGUGAUACUGUUGUGGAGAGUGUCAGGGAUCUUACUAGCUACGAUAGGGUUAUGGUGUACAAGUUUCAUGAAGAUGAGCACGGCGAGGUUGUGGCUGAGAGCAAGAGGCCUGACUUGGAGCCUUAUUUUGGGCUGCAUUAUCCGUCAACAGAUAUCCCCCAGGCAUCAAGGUUCUUGUUCAAGCAGAACAGAGUGAGAAUGAUUGUGGAUUGCCAUGCCUCACCCGUUGGUGUAAUUCAGGAUGAUGGACUUAUGCAGCCUCUGUGUUUGGUUGGCUCAACACUGCGUGCUCCUCAUGGUUGUCAUGCUCAAUAUAUGGAGAAUAUGGGGUCAAAAUCAUCAUUGGCAAUGGCAGUUAUAAUCAAUGGAAAUGAUGAGGAAGUUAUUGGAGGAAGAAAUGCAACGAGGCUUUGGGGUUUAGUGGUUUGUCACCACACCUCUGCUAGAUGCAUUCCCUUUCCUCUCCGCUAUGCUUGCGAGUUUCUAAUGCAGGCAUUUGGGCUCCAACUGAACAUGGAACUCCAAUUGGCGGCACAGUUGUCUGAGAAACACGUUUUGAAAACUCAGACUCUCUUGUGUGAUAUGCUUCUUCGUGACUCACCAACGGGCAUUGUUACUCAAAGCCCCAGCAUAAUGGACCUUGUGAAGUGUGAUGGGGCAGCACUUUAUUACCAAGGCAAGUAUUACCCAAUAGGAGUGACCCCGGCCGAGGCUCAGAUAAAGGACAUUGUGGAGUGGUUGUUGACGUUUCAUGGAGAUUCAACGGGUUUAAGUACAGAUAGUUUGGCUGAUGCCGGGUACCCUGGGGCAGCCUUGCUGGGCGAUGCUGUUUGUGGUAUGGCUGUUGCUUAUAUUACUAAUAGGGAUUUUCUGUUCUGGUUCCGAUCACAUACAACAAAGGAGAUUAAAUGGGGUGGUGCAAAGCAUCAUCCUGAGGACAAGGAUGAUGGGCAGAGAAUGCAUCCCCGUUCUUCGUUCAAGGCUUUCUUGGAAGUGGUAAAGAGCAGGAGUUUGCCAUGGGAGAAUGGAGAAAUGGAUGCCAUCCACUCUUUGCAGCUGAUUUUGCGAGACUCAUUCAAGGAUGCUGAAGCUAGCAAUUCCAAGGCUGUUGUAAAACCCGAGGUUGGGGAGCAGGAGUUACAAGGGAUGGAUGAGCUCAGCUCGGUGGCUAGAGAAAUGGUGAGGUUGAUAGAGACUGCCACUGCGCCUAUCUUUGCUGUAGAUACUGAUGGCUGCUUAAAUGGGUGGAACGCAAAGACUGCUGAGUUGACUGGGCUCUCAAUAGAGGAAGCUAUGGGAAAAUCCUUGGUUCAUGAUCUUGUGUACAAGGAAUACCAAGAGACUGUUGACAAACUGCUUUCCCGUGCUUUAAGAGGUGAAGAAGAUAAGAAUGUAGAGAUAAAAUUGCGGACAUUUGGUUCAGAAAAUUGUAACAAGGCUGUUUAUGUGGUGGUCAAUGCUUGCUCUAGUAAGGAUUACACAAAUAAUAUUGUAGGAGUUUGCUUUGUCGGUCAGGAUGUUACUGGACAAAAAGUCAUAAUGGACAAAUUCAUCAACAUUCAAGGUGAUUACAAGGCUAUAGUUCAUAGCCCAAACCCUUUGAUACCUCCAAUAUUUGCUUGUGACGAAAAUACAUGUUGCUUGGAGUGGAACACUGCAAUGGAAAAGCUCACGGGGUGGGCCAGAGACGAAAUCAUUGGGAAGAUGUUGGUUGGGGAGGUUUUUGGCAGUUGCUGUCGGCUCAAAGGUUCAGAUGCUUUGACAAAAUUUAUGAUUAUCUUGCACAGUGCAAUUGGAGGGCAGGAUACAGAUAUGCUUCCCUUUUCUUUUGUUGACCGUAACGGGAAAUUUGUGCAAGCUCUCCUGACUGCAAAUAAAAGGGUCAAUAUGGAAGGGGCGUUUGUUGGAGCCUUCUGCUUCUUGCAAAUUGCAAGCCCUGAGUUGCAGCAAACUCUGGAAGUCCAGAAGCAACAAGAGAAAAAACGCUUUGCAAGGAUGAAAGAGUUGGCUUACAUUUGCCAGGAAAUAAAAAAUCCUUUAAGUGGCAUACGCUUUACUAAUUCACUUUUGGUGGCUACGAAGUUGACUGAAGAUCAAAAGCAGUUGCUUGAGACUAGUGCUGCCUGUGAGAAGCAGAUGGUGAAAAUUAUUCGGGAUGUUGAUCUGCAGAGCAUUGAAAAUGGUUCAUUGGAGCUUGAGAAGUCUGAAUUCCUACUUGAGAGUAUCAUAAAUGCCGUUGUUAGCCAAGUGAUGAUCUUGCUAAGGGAACGAGGUCUACAAUUAAUUCGUGAUAUUCCAGAGGAAGUAAAAAGUCUAGCUGUUUAUGGUGAUCAAGUAAGAAUUCAACAGCUUUUGGCUGAUUUUUUGUUAAACAUGGUGCGGUAUGCUCCGACUCCCGAGGGUUGGGUAGAGAUUCAUGUUUGUCCAACAUUGAAGCAAACCUCUUCUGGGCUGACUCUUGUGCACGCUGAAUUCAGGAUGGUAUGCCCUGGUGAAGGUCUUCCUCCACAGUUGGUUCAAGACAUGUUUCAUAGCAGCCAAUGGAUGACUCAGGAAGGCUUAGGGCUGAGUAUGUGCAGGAAGAUUUUAAGGCUCAUGGAUGGUGAAGUUCAAUAUAUCAGAGAAUCUGAGAGAUGCUAUUUCUUAAUCAUCCUUGAACUUCCUAUGUCUCGAGGAGAGUCGAAGAGCAUAGACAAAGCUUAGCAGACAGCUUAAGUUUACCAAACCAAGUCAUCUCCCAAAAUAUUCAACCUACGGUAGUUGGCUAGUACCCUGAGGAAUUUUCCUCUACUCAGUUACAAGGUCUACAUGGGGCAUUGUGGAUUUUAUCCGUUACCGAAGCCAUGUUUUUGCCAGAUACAAUCAAAUGUCACCCUCCUACUUAUACCAGGGAACUCAUUAUCUCUUAUCACACGGGACAUGCUUUAAAAUCUUCCUUAAGUUGUCUUGUUUGUUAGCAUUUCUGAUGCAGUGGGGGCCGAGAGGAACUAAGGUGGAUCGUAGAUUGUCGUAGACUUCCACGAGUAAAGCGGUUGCAAUUGUAGGCUGGCUGCUGGAUUGACUUGUAACUUUCCCACUUUAUAUGCAAUCUCUCCAGUCAUGUUGGCAGUACACAGUGGUCUUACAACGGUAGGCCAAUGGUGAUUAGAGAUUAUUUAUUUGUCAAUGCUUCCAUAGUUCCAUAUGGAAAAAACGACGUUGCAACUUGCCGUUUUAUUCUACUUGCUGCUGCAAGGCCGUUCCUUGCGAAAUCUACUCCUGAUUCCUGAAAGCGAAAGCAAGCCCCCCGCCAGAGGAUGGAUAGACUCUCAUUCCCCGUACCCUCUAAAGGCCCAAAGAAUGAUGUCCACUGGGCCUUCUGCUGCAAGGAGCCACCUAUCAAAACCCAUUUGACCCAAGCUGUCUGUGAAGUUGACUGGUUUUCCUUUUCCUUGGGAGUUUAAAAACGUGGAGCUUGCUAUUAAGCUUCCCCGGAGUUAAGGAUAGGAUGCAAGUUGCCAACCGACCAAGCAAAGCAUCUUCAAGCUUUGGACUUUCCAUUUUCAUGGUGGCUUCGCUUUAUCUAUUUUUCCUCCAUUAUAGGGAAAGAGAACAAGAGUCAUCCGUGUUUGUCUAUAUAAACAGAGUAUAUCUGUCUGAAAACUUUGUUCAUGCAUGGGCUUUAAUAGUCAUGAUG